CCUCUGAGCCAGGUGCCGGAUAUAAUCUCGUGGUGCGCCGUUUUUUAAGCCGGUCCGAAAAGCCAAUAUUCGGGUGGGAGUGACCCGAUUUUCCAGAAAUAGAUGACAAGAGGGUGCCCAACACACAAGGGGAAUUACAGAAUGCAUCCCCUAAGCAAAGGAAGCAGAGUGUGUACACGCCACCCACCAUAAAAGGGGUUAAGCAUCUGAAAGGCCAGAAUGAAUCAGCGUUCCCUGAAGAAGAAGAAGGCACCAAUGAAAGAGAGGAGCAGCGGGACCAUUAAUUACUGGUCUGCAGCAAGAAGCCUUCUUGGAAAUAACUGAACUAUUAACUUUUCUGAGUAUACCAUGGAAUUCCACUGCUUGACUUCCAGAAGCAUCCUCCAUCUCUGCACCCCACACUCAUACAGUAGCUAUGCACAUCCUGGAAGUCUCCUUGACUGAACUUUAGAACUAAGUACACAUUGUUCCACAUCACUUAUAAUUAAAGAAUAAGCAUU
This 500-nucleotide small RNA is filed under the name Pan troglodytes (chimpanzee). RNAcentral describes it as "processed transcript". Lineage: Eukaryota; Metazoa; Chordata; Mammalia; Primates; Hominidae. The record is from RNAcentral.